GAGCUCUGAGGCCCUCUGGUUAGUAGAAGCUUGGAUCGUGAGUGCAGAAGAUGCUUGUGGAAGACAUGCAAGCUUGUUGAGAUGAGAUGUCCCCCUCCCUCCCAGGCGACUGCUUUCCUGACACCACUGCUCUGCAAUGGACAAAGACAGAGAAGGAUCCUGCUUGGGUACUGGACACGGUGGCACAUGCCUUUAGUUCCAG
This 202-nucleotide long non-coding RNA is filed under the name Cricetulus griseus (Chinese hamster). RNAcentral describes it as "lncRNA (ENSCGRG00000025408.1)". The record is from RNAcentral. Lineage: Eukaryota; Metazoa; Chordata; Mammalia; Rodentia; Cricetidae.